UACGUAGGGUGCGAGCGUUAAUCGGAAUUACUGGGCGUAAAGCGUGCGUAGGCGGUCCGCAAAGUCUGAUGUGAAAGCCCCGGGCUCAACCUGGGAACUGCAUUGGAAACUAACGGGCUCGAGUGUGGCAGAGGGGGGUGGAAUUCCACGUGUAGCAGUGAAAUGCGUAGAGAUGCGGAGGAACACCGAUGGCGAAGGCAGCCCCCUGGGCUAACACUGACGCUCAGGCACGAAAGCGUGGGGAGCAAACAGG
RNAcentral lists this ribosomal RNA (253 nucleotides) under uncultured bacterium. RNAcentral's name for it is "partial 16S ribosomal RNA". It matches the Rfam family "Bacterial small subunit ribosomal RNA", at positions 524 to 776 of the family's 1533-position model. The record is from RNAcentral.